Long non-coding RNA from Quercus lobata, 543 nucleotides. RefSeq lists it as uncharacterized. NCBI's taxonomy places the organism in Eukaryota, Viridiplantae, Streptophyta, Magnoliopsida, Fagales, Fagaceae. The record is from RefSeq and is a predicted model, not a curated record. The transcript is spliced from 3 exons.
CCCUUUUGGCUGGUCCAUCCCUCUAUCUCAUUUGGUUCUCUUUUCAUUUCAUUUCACAUUUUUCCCUCUUUCUCCCUCUCACUCUACCAUCGAUACCCCACUCCCCACAUCAUCAUCUCCACCAUCAUUUUUCCGGCAAGAUCACCAGAAAAACUUCUUAGGAACUCUUUCAUCUUCACAUCUUUUAUUUGAGGGUGUGACAGCGAGAGAGGGAGAGUUGGGGUCUCCGGCGGGGGUUCUUUUGUCACUGAUCUACGACGGAGUGACUUGGUGAACAUGGACAAGGCAAGAACAGAGCAAAGAGAGGCUGAGGGGCUUUGGUGCGAGAGAAGGAAGAACUGAGAGGCAGAUGUCUUUUAGGGCUUUUAGUCGAUUGUUAUGCUCAAACCAGGAUCAAUCGGUUUUUUUUCUCAUAAUCCUAGACAUAUAUAAGGAUUAUUUUUAGGACCGUCAAAGGUGAUGCAAUUGGAUGCAAAGUGAUUAUUCACUCAAAUUGUGACCGAAGACAAUUUGCCUUAGUUCAUAUUUCUCUUGAAGAAGCUG